GGACUACUGGGGUUUCUAAUCCUGUUUGCUCCCCUAGCUUUCGUGCCUUAGUGUCAGGUAUUGUCCAGGGACUCGCCUUCGCCACUGGUGUUCCUCUCGAUAUCUACGCAUUUCACUGCUACACCGAGAAUUCCAGUCCCCCCUCCAAUCCUCCAGCCGGAUAGUAUCCAAUGCAGUUUCGGAGUUGAGCUCCGAGAUUUCACAUCAGACUUACCCGGCCACCUACGCACCCUUUACGCCCAGUAAAUCCGAACAACGCUUGGGACCUCUGUAUUACCGCGGCUGCUGGCAC
This 292-nucleotide ribosomal RNA is filed under the name uncultured Verrucomicrobiota bacterium. Its description in RNAcentral is "uncultured Verrucomicrobia bacterium partial 16S ribosomal RNA". The record is from RNAcentral. Lineage: Bacteria; Pseudomonadati; Verrucomicrobiota.